UGCAUCGGCCGAGAAUCGAACCCGGGCCGCCCGCGUGGCAGUCGAGCAUUCUCGCCACGGAACCACCGAUGC
RNAcentral lists this transfer RNA (72 nucleotides) under Cordylochernes scorpioides. RNAcentral's name for it is "tRNA-Gly". Lineage: Eukaryota; Metazoa; Arthropoda; Arachnida; Pseudoscorpiones; Chernetidae. The record is from RNAcentral.